UCCAGACUCCUACGGGAGGCAGCAGUGGGGAAUAUUGCACAAUGGGGGAAACCCUGAUGCAGCGACGCCGCGUGAGUGAAGAAGUAAUUCGUUAUGUAAAGCUCUAUCAGCAGGGAAGAAAAUGACGGUACCUGAGUAAGAAGCCCCGGCUAACUACGUGCCAGCAGCCGCGGUAAUACGUAGGGGGCAAGCGUUAUCCGGAUUUACUGGGUGUAAAGGGAGCGUAGACGGCAGUGCAAGUCUGAAGUGAAAAUCCAGCGCGUAACGUUGGAAGUGCUUUGGAAACUGCCGGGCUAGAGUGCAGGAGGGGCAGGCGGAAUUCCUAGUGUAGCGGUGAAAUGCGUAGAUAUUAGGAGGAACACCAGUGGCGAAGGCGGUCUGCUGGACAGCAACUGACGCUGAGGCGCGAAAGCGUGGGGAGCAAACAGGAUUAGAUACCCGAGUAA
Molecule: ribosomal RNA, 446 nt
Filed under: uncultured bacterium
Lineage: Bacteria
Description: bacterial SSU rRNA
Rfam family: Bacterial small subunit ribosomal RNA
Source: RNAcentral